GGGAUUCACUGGAAGGCUUGGCUGCAAAAACUGAAACAACCCAAAAACACGUUUUAAUGUUGGAAGCAACUUAAGGGGAACCAUACAUGAAACAAAGAGGACGGGUCCAACCACAGAACCCUGAGGGAUUCCAAAACCAACUCUGGUGGAAACUGGAAUCUGUCAGCUCCUGCUCACCGCGCUCACAGGUUCCUCCGGAUACGAACCCGCCGCUCUCAGCUCCUUGUUCAUGGCCAGAACAUCCGUAAGGUCC
Molecule: long non-coding RNA, 253 nt
Organism: Poecilia latipinna (sailfin molly)
Lineage: Eukaryota; Metazoa; Chordata; Actinopteri; Cyprinodontiformes; Poeciliidae
Exons: 3
Source: RefSeq, a predicted model, not a curated record